UAAAGUAUUUACAUUGUAUGACUGCCAAGAGCUGAAGUGUGUUCCCCCUCUUCCUUGGAAACUGGAGAGGCUUAACCUGGCAAACUGCUUUUCAUUGGAGAGUAUAUCCGACCUUUCAAAGCUGCAGAUCUUGGAUGAGCUCAAUCUCACAAACUGUGGGAAAGUGGAUGAUGUUCCAGGCCUAGAGCACUUGAAGGCUCUGAAAAGAUUAUACAUGAGCGGCUGCAACUCUAGGUUCUCUGUUGCAGUCAAGAAAAGACUUUCCAAGGUGAUUCUGCAAACUCCUUAACAUCUCAGGUGGUUUUGUUAACAACUUAGAAUGUUUUGAAUUCUCACUGCAGGCUUCUUUGAAAAUGAUGGUGAAUCUGAGCUUACCUGGGAACAGAAUCCCUGACUGGUUCUCACAAGGCCCUAUCACAUUCUCACCUCAACCCAACAGAGAGCUCAGAGGCGUAAUCCUGGCAGUUGUUGUGGCUCUUAACCAAGACUGCAUAGAUGACUACCAGCUGCCUGAUGUGAUGGAGGUGCAAGCACAAAUUCUCAAACUUGAUUCACCCUUAUACACCCACACAUUGCACCUCUCUGGAGUUCCAAGAACAAGUGAUGAUCAGCUCCACAUCUGCCGAUACUCAACUUUGCAUCCGAUGAUUUGGACGUUUAAAGAUGGGUACACCAUACAAGUCGUUAAACGGGAACCACCAAUCAAACAAGGCGUUGAGCUAAAGAUGCAUGGGAUUCAUUUUGUUUAUGAAGGGGAUGAUGAUUUUAAAGGUGAAGAACAUGUAUUGAACGAGACACAGCUCACUGUCUCUCAGAAGCUUGCCAAUUUUUUCAGGUCGUUUGAAGAAGGUGAAGCCAGCUCAGAAAGUGAAUCUGCUUAUACUCACAACAGAUGGUUCAGUACUUCAGUCUCUCUCUUACUGUUAUGGGUGGUGUUGAUAAGUUUUGUUGGAUGGUGUUUUUUUGGGAUAUGGGGUAAAGUCCCUGAUGAUCUUGGGAACCUUUCAUCUCUCAAGAAACUAGAACUGGGGAAUAACUAUUUUCACAGUCUUCCAUCUAGUCUUGAGGGGUUAUGGAAUCUUAAAGUAUUUACAUUGUAUGACUGCCAAGAGCUGAAGUGUGUUCCCCCUCUUCCUUGGAAACUGGAGAGGCUUAACCUGGCAAACUGCUUUUCAUUGGAGAGUAUAUCCGACCUUUCAAAGCUGCAGAUCUUGGAUGAGCUCAAUCUCACAAACUGUGGGAAAGUGGAUGAUGUUCCAGGCCUAGAGCACUUGAAGGCUCUGAAAAGAUUAUACAUGAGCGGCUGCA
Molecule: long non-coding RNA, 1308 nt
Filed under: Brassica napus (rape)
Lineage: Eukaryota; Viridiplantae; Streptophyta; Magnoliopsida; Brassicales; Brassicaceae
Description: long non-coding RNA (BNAP_LNC012124)
Source: RNAcentral